UACAGAGGGGGCAAGCGUUGUUCGGAAUUACUGGGCGUAAAGGGCGCGUAGGCGGCCCGCUAAGUCGAACGUGAAAUCCCCGAGCUCAACUCGGGAACUGCGUCCGAUACUGGCGGGCUUGAAUCCGGGAGAGGGAUGCGGAAUUCCAGGUGUAGCGGUGAAAUGCGUAGAUAUCUGGAGGAACACCGGUGGCGAAGGCGGCAUCCUGGACCGGCAUUGACGCUGAGGCGCGAAAGCUAGGGGAGCAAACAGG
RNAcentral lists this ribosomal RNA (253 nucleotides) under uncultured bacterium. Its description in RNAcentral is "partial 16S ribosomal RNA". It matches the Rfam family "Bacterial small subunit ribosomal RNA", at positions 524 to 776 of the family's 1533-position model. The record is from RNAcentral.